GCCUGGAUAGCUCAGUUGGUUAGAGCGUGGCGCUGAUAACAGCAAGGUUGCAGGUUCAAUCCCCGUUUGGGACA
This 74-nucleotide transfer RNA is filed under the name Podarcis muralis (Common wall lizard). It matches the Rfam family "tRNA". Rfam says of the family: Transfer RNA (tRNA) molecules are approximately 80 nucleotides in length. Their secondary structure includes four short double-helical elements and three loops (D, anti-codon, and T loops). RNAcentral also lists the same sequence under 1 other name. The record is from Rfam by way of RNAcentral. Lineage: Eukaryota; Metazoa; Chordata; Lepidosauria; Squamata; Lacertidae.